GCCUUCGUGGUGUAAUGGUCAGCACACUGAGCCGGUAUUUCAGAGGUCCGCGGUUCGAUCCCUGGCGAAGGCA
Molecule: transfer RNA, 73 nt
Filed under: Stegodyphus mimosarum
Lineage: Eukaryota; Metazoa; Arthropoda; Arachnida; Araneae; Eresidae
Rfam family: tRNA
About the family: Transfer RNA (tRNA) molecules are approximately 80 nucleotides in length.
Source: Rfam by way of RNAcentral